GUGAGAGACAGACAGAUGUAGCGUAAUAAGAAACAGCAGCAUAAAAAUAGAGACAGACAUAUAAAACAUUCUAAAGUUCUAAUAAAAUCGAUCAUAAGGUGGAUAGAGGAGAAAAGAAAACCAAUUGAGAGAGAUCUUCCCUCCCCACUUUAAAAAAGAAAUCAAUUCGUUCCUGAUGGCCGCCUCUCUCAACGUUUCCACUCAUUUGGAAAAUAAGAAUAAAAACCCUACCACACAAAACUUGACUUUUCUUUCAUCAUAUUAGUUUUCAGGCUUUCAGUUCGAGCAAGCAAAGUAAUCUUGUUAUAAAAGUCAUCCCUGAAUAGGGUAAAAUCUCGUCAUACGAGUAUACUGAACAAACUAGAAUCCAUUGAAACAGCACCCAUCCCAUCUUCUCUCGCUUGAUGGAUACAGAUGAUCGCAAGUGUUGCUCGAAUUCACAGGAUGAGAUGCCGCCACAGAGCAAGAAAAAGCUAGGGAAGAAAGUCCAUAAGAUUCUAUCUCCUAGUGAUCUAAGAACAUUGCAAUGGCUUACGGAGAAAACUUUAAUCCAGGAAAAUCCAGAAACCGUAUCCGUAUCCGUUUUCUACAAAGAAGCAUUCGCAUGGAAGCCCUGAGAAGAUGCAGCAGUCUUCACAACAGUCAUCUGAUGAGCAGCCUCCUAAGAAUCCCAACAUGGUAAUGCAGCAAUCAGUAAGAGGAUCUUUCCAUAGGAAAUAUUGGCAAAAGCCUGAUUCUGUUUUGGUAUAAAUAUGUGUAGGUAGAAACUUGUUUUAAAUAAAAAUCUAGGGGAGGUAGAUUCCCUAUGAAAUUUA
RNAcentral lists this small RNA (815 nucleotides) under Drosophila pseudoobscura pseudoobscura. RNAcentral's name for it is "GA32465". Lineage: Eukaryota; Metazoa; Arthropoda; Insecta; Diptera; Drosophilidae. The record is from RNAcentral.